ACACUUACCUGGCAAGGGAGACACCAUGAUCACGAAGAUGGUUUUCCCAGGGUGAGGCUCAUCCAUUGCACUCCGGAUGUGCUGACCCCUGCGAUUUCCCUAAAUGUGGGAAACUGGACUACAUAAUUUGUGGUAGUGGGGGACUGCAUUCGCAAUUUCCCCUG
The sequence is a small nuclear RNA, 164 nucleotides long. Its record names the gene U1. It matches the Rfam family "U1 spliceosomal RNA". From Rfam's summary of the family: U1 is a small nuclear RNA (snRNA) component of the spliceosome (involved in pre-mRNA splicing). Its 5' end forms complementary base pairs with the 5' splice junction, thus defining the 5' donor site of an intron. There are significant differences in sequence and secondary structure between metazoan and yeast U1 snRNAs, the latter being much longer (568 nucleotides as compared to 164 nucleotides in human). The record is from Ensembl.